Molecule: ribosomal RNA, 403 nt
Filed under: uncultured bacterium
Lineage: Bacteria
Description: partial 16S ribosomal RNA
Rfam family: Bacterial small subunit ribosomal RNA
Source: RNAcentral
AUUGAACGCUGGCGGCAGGCCUAACACAUGCAAGUCGAGCGAGCGGCGGACGGGGGAGUAAUGUAUGGGGACUGCCCGAUAGAGGGGGAUAACUACUGGAAACGGUAGCUAAUACCGCAUACUAUCGGAUAACCCAUAGGGGAUUAGCUAGUAGGGGAGGUAAUGCCUCACCUAGUCGACGAGCCCUAGCUGGUCUGAUAGGAUGAUGAGCAACACUGGGACUGAGACCCGGCCCAGACUCCUACGGAGGCAGGAGUGGGGAAUCUUGCACAAUGGGCGCAAGCCUGAUGCAGCCAUGCCGCGUGUAUGAAGAAGGCCCUAGGGUUGUAAAGUACUUUCAGUCGGGAGGCGUUACCGACAGAAGAAGCACCGGCUAACUCCGUGCCAGCAGCCGCGGUAAUAC